GAUGAACGCUAGCGGCAGGCCUAAUACAUGCAAGUCGAACGAGAUUAUCCAGCUUGCUGGAUAUGAAAGUGGCGCACGGGUGCGUAACGCGUAUGCAACCUACCUUAAUCAGGGGGAUAGCCCGAAGAAAUUCGGAUUAAGACCGCAUAAAAACACAGAAUAGCAUUAUUCAAUGUUCAAAUAUUUAUAGGAUUAAGAUGGGCAUGCGUGUCAUUAGCUAGUUGGCGGGGUAACGGCCCACCAAGGCGACGAUGACUAGGGGAUCUGAGAGGAUGACCCCCCACACUGGUACUGAGACACGGACCAGACUCCUACGGGAGGCAGCAGUAAGGAAUAUUGGUCAAUGGAGGGAACUCUGAACCAGCCAUGCCGCGUGCAGGAUGACGGCCCUCUGGGUUGUAAACUGCUUUUAUUCGGGAAUAAACCUUAUUACGUGUAAUAAGCUGAAUGUACCGAAGGAAUAAGGAUCGGCUAACUCCGUGCCAGCAGCCGCGGUAAUACGGAGGAUCCAAGCGUUAUCCGGAUUUAUUGGGUUUAAAGGGUGCGUAGGCGGCUUAUUAAGUCAGGGGUGAAAGACGGUGGCUCAACCAUCGCAGUGCCCUUGAUACUGAUGAGCUUGAAUACACUAGAGGUAGGCGGAAUGUGACAAGUAGCGGUGAAAUGCAUAGAUAUGUCACAGAACACCGAUUGCGAAGGCAGCUUACUAUGGUGCAAUUGACGCUGAGGCACGAAAGCGUGGGGAUCAAACAGGAUUAGAUACCCUGGUAGUCCACGCCCUAAACGAUGAAUACUCGCUGUUAGCGAUAUACAGUUAGCGGCUAAGCGAAAGCGUUAAGUAUUCCACCUGGGGAGUACGCCCGCAAGGGUGAAACUCAAAGGAAUUGACGGGGGCCCGCACAAGCGGAGGAGCAUGUGGUUUAAUUCGAUGAUACGCGAGGAACCUUACCCGGGCUUGAAAGUUAGUGAAUGAUCUAGAGAUAGAUCAGUGAGCAAUCACACGAAACUAGGUGCUGCAUGGCUGUCGUCAGCUCGUGCCGUGAGGUGUUGGGUUAAGUCCCGCAACGAGCGCAACCCCUAUGUUUAGUUGCCAGCAUGUAAAGGUGGGGACUCUAAACAGACUGCCUGUGCAAACAGAGAGGAAGGAGGGGACGACGUCAAGUCAUCAUGGCCCUUACGUCCGGGGCUACACACGUGCUACAAUGGAUGGUACAGAGGGCAGCGAGCUGGCAACAGUAAGCCAAUCUCAAAAAGCCAUUCACAGUUCGGAUAGAGGUCUGCAACUCGACCUCUUGAAGUUGGAUUCGCUAGUAAUCGCGUAUCAGCAAUGACGCGGUGAAUACGUUCCCGGGCCUUGUACACACCGCCCGUCAAGCCAUGGAAGUUGGGGGUACCUAAAGUAUGUAACCGCAAGGAGCGUCCUAGGGUAAAACCGAUAACUGGGGCU
This 1444-nucleotide ribosomal RNA is filed under the name Pedobacter sp. Its description in RNAcentral is "bacterial SSU rRNA". It matches the Rfam family "Bacterial small subunit ribosomal RNA". Lineage: Bacteria; Pseudomonadati; Bacteroidota; Sphingobacteriia; Sphingobacteriales; Sphingobacteriaceae. The record is from RNAcentral.